GAGUAACACGUGGGUGAUCUGCCCUGCACUUUGGGAUAAGCCUGGGAAACUGGGUCUAAUACCGAAUAUGACCUUCGGUUGCAUGACCGGGGGUGGAAAGAUUUAUCGGUGCGGGAUGGGCCCGCGGCCUAUCAGCUUGUUGGUGGGGUAAUGGCCUACCAAGGCGACGACGGGUAGCCGGCCUGAGAGGGCGACCGGCCACACUGGGACUGAGACACGGCCCAGACUCCUACGGGAGGCAGCAGUGGGGAAUAUUGCACAAUGGGCGAAAGCCUGAUGCAGCGACGCCGCGUGAGGGAUGACGGCCUUCGGGUUGUAAACCUCUUUCGACAGGGACGAAGCGCAAGUGACGGUACCUGUAGAAGAAGCACCGGCCAACUACGUGCCAGCAGCCGCGGUAAUACGUAGGGUGCGAGCGUUGUCCGGAAUUACUGGGCGUAAAGAGCUUGUAGGCGGUUCGUCGCGUCGUUCGUGAAAACUUGGGGCUCAACCGCGAGCUUGCGGGCGAUACGGGCGGACUAGAGUACUUCAGGGGAGACUGGAAUUCCUGGUGUAGCGGUGAAAUGCGCAGAUAUCAGGAGGAACACCGGUGGCGAAGGCGGGUCUCUGGGAAGUAACUGACGCUGAGAAGCGAAAGCGUGGGUAGCGAACAGGAUUAGAUACCCUGGUAGUCCACGCCGUAAACGGUGGGUACUAGGUGUGGGUUUCCUUCCACGGGAUCCGUGCCGUAGCUAACGCAUUAAGUACCCCGCCUGGGGAGUACGGCCGCAAGGCUAAAACUCAAAGGAAUUGACGGGGGCCCGCACAAGCGGCGGAGCAUGUGGAUUAAUUCGAUGCAACGCGAAGAACCUUACCUGGGUUUGACAUACACCGGGAACCCUGCAGAGAUGUAGGCCCCCCUUGUGGUCCGGUGUACAAGGUGGUGCAUGG
This 930-nucleotide ribosomal RNA is filed under the name Nocardia neocaledoniensis. Its description in RNAcentral is "bacterial SSU rRNA". It matches the Rfam family "Bacterial small subunit ribosomal RNA", at positions 108 to 1048 of the family's 1533-position model. The record is from RNAcentral. Lineage: Bacteria; Bacillati; Actinomycetota; Actinomycetes; Mycobacteriales; Nocardiaceae.